AUUGAACGCUGGCGGCAGGCUUAACACAUGCAAGUCGAGCGGGGGAAGGUAGCUUGCUACUGGACCUAGCGGCGGACGGGUGAGUAAUGCUUAGGAAUCUGCCUAUUAGUGGGGGACAACAUCUCGAAAGGGAUGCUAAUACCGCAUACGUCCUACGGGAGAAGGCAGGGGAUCUUCGGACCUUGCGCUAAUAGAUGAGCCUAAGUCGGAUUAGCUAGUUGGUGGGGUAAAGGCCUACCAGGGCGACGAUCUGUAGCGGGUCUGAGAGGAUGAUCCGCCACACUGGGACUGAGACACGGCCCAGACUCCUACGGGAGGCAGCAGUGGGGAAUAUUGGACAAUGGGGGGAACCCUGAUCCAGCCAUGCCGCGUGUGUGAAGAAGGCCUUAUGGUUGUAAAGCACUUUAAGCGAGGAGGAGGCCACUUUAGUUAAUACCUAGAGAUAGUGGACGUUACUCGCAGAAUAAGCACCGGCUAACUCUGUGCCAGCCGCCGCGGUAA
Molecule: ribosomal RNA, 501 nt
Filed under: uncultured bacterium
Lineage: Bacteria
Description: partial 16S ribosomal RNA
Rfam family: Bacterial small subunit ribosomal RNA
Source: RNAcentral